GGCUCAGAUUGAACGCUGGCGGCAGGCCUAACACAUGCAAGUCGAACGGUAACAGGAAACAGCUUGCUGUUUCGCUGACGAGUGGCGGACGGGUGAGUAAUGUCUGGGAAACUGCCCGAUGGAGGGGGAUAACUACUGGAAACGGUAGCUAAUACCGCAUAACGUCGCAAGACCAAAGAGGGGGACCUUCGGGCCUCUUGCCAUCGGAUGUGCCCAGAUGGGAUUAGCUAGUAGGUGGGGUAACGGCUCACCUAGGCGACGAUCCCUAGCUGGUCUGAGAGGAUGACCAGCCACACUGGAACUGAGACACGGUCCAGACUCCUACGGGAGGCAGCAGUGGGGAAUAUUGCACAAUGGGCGCAAGCCUGAUGCAGCCAUGCCGCGUGUAUGAAGAAGGCCUUCGGGUUGUAAAGUACUUUCAGCGGGGAGGAAGGGAGUAAAGUUAAUACCUUUGCUCAUUGACGUUACCCGCAGAAGAAGCACCGGCUAACUCCGUGCCAGCAGCCGCGGUAAUACGGAGGGUGCAAGCGUUAAUCGGAAUUACUGGGCGUAAAGCGCACGCAGGCGGUUUGUUAAGUCAGAUGUGAAAUCCCCGGGCUCAACCUGGGAACUGCAUCUGAUACUGGCAAGCUUGAGUCUCGUAGAGGGGGGUAGAAUUCCAGGUGUAGCGGUGAAAUGCGUAGAGAUCUGGAGGAAUACCGGUGGCGAAGGCGGCCCCCUGGACGAAGACUGACGCUCAGGUGCGAAAGCGCGGGGAGCAAACAGGAUUAGAUACCCUGGUAGUCCACGCCGUAAACGAUGUCGACUUGGGGGCUGUGCCCUUGAGGCGUGGCUUCCGGAGCUAACGCGUUAAGUCGACCGCCUGGGGAGUACGGCCGCAAGGUUAAAACUCAAAUGAAUUGACGGGGGCCCGCACAAGCGGUGGAGCAUGUGGUUUAAUUCGAUGCAACGCGAAGAACCUUACCUGGUCUUGACAUCCACGGGAGUUUUCAGAGAUGAGAAUGUGCCUUCGGGAACCGUGAGACAGGUGCUGCAUGGCUGUCGUCAGCUCGUGUUGUGAAAUGUUGGGUUAAGUCCCGCAACGAGCGCAACCCUUAUCCUUUGUUGCCAGCGGUCCGGCCGGGAACUCAAAGGAGACUGCCAGUGAUAAACUGGAGGAAGGUGGGGAUGACGUCAAGUCAUCAUGGCCCUUACGACCAGGGCUACACACGUGCUACAAUGGCGCAUACAAAGAGAAGCGACCUCGCGAGAGCAAGCGGACCUCAUAAAGUGCGUCGUAGUCCGGAUUGGAGUCUGCAACUCGACUCCAUGAAGUCGGAAUCGCUAGUAAUCGUGGAUCAGAAUGCCACGGUGAAUACGUUCCCGGGCCUUGUACACACCGCCCGUCACACCAUGGGAGUGGGUUGCAAAAGAAGUAGGUAGCUUAACCUUCGGGAGGGCGCUUACCACUUUGUGAUUCAUGACUG
RNAcentral lists this ribosomal RNA (1466 nucleotides) under uncultured organism. RNAcentral describes it as "SSU rRNA". It matches the Rfam family "Bacterial small subunit ribosomal RNA". The record is from RNAcentral.